AGGGAGAUCUAGAUUAUAAAGCUCAAGAGGAAGAUACAACUAGAUUAACAGAAACAUUUCAUUUCAUCUCAUUUU
This 75-nucleotide small RNA is filed under the name Salix viminalis (osier). Lineage: Eukaryota; Viridiplantae; Streptophyta; Magnoliopsida; Malpighiales; Salicaceae. The record is from RNAcentral.